UACGAAGGGUGCAAGCGUUACUCGGAAUUACUGGGCGUAAAGCGUGCGUAGGUGGUGGUUUAAGUCUGCUGUGAAAGCCCUGGGCUCAACCUGGGAAUUGCAGUGGAUACUGGAUCACUAGAGUGUGGUAGAGGGAUGCGGAAUUUCUGGUGUAGCAGUGAAAUGCGUAGAGAUCAGAAGGAACAUCCGUGGCGAAGGCGGCAUCCUGGGCCAACACUGACACUGAGGCACGAAAGCGUGGGGAGCAAACAGG
RNAcentral lists this non-coding RNA (253 nucleotides) under uncultured bacterium. RNAcentral's name for it is "partial 16S ribosomal RNA". It matches the Rfam family "Bacterial small subunit ribosomal RNA", at positions 524 to 776 of the family's 1533-position model. RNAcentral also lists the same sequence under 3 other names. The record is from RNAcentral.